This 1520-nucleotide ribosomal RNA is filed under the name Staphylococcus sp. Anaero5. RNAcentral's name for it is "bacterial SSU rRNA". It matches the Rfam family "Bacterial small subunit ribosomal RNA". Lineage: Bacteria; Bacillati; Bacillota; Bacilli; Caryophanales; Staphylococcaceae. The record is from RNAcentral.
GGGGAGUUUGAUCCUGGCUCAGGAUGAACGCUGGCGGCGUGCCUAAAACAUGCAAGUCGGGCGAACAGAUAAGGGGCUUGCUCCUUUGACGUUAGCGGCGGACGGGUGGGUAACCCGUGGAAAACCUACCUAAAAGACUGGGAAAACUUCGGGAAACCGGGGCUAAAACCGGAAAACAAAUUGAACCGCAUGGUUCAAAAGUGAAAGGCGGCUUUGCUGUCCCUUAAAGAUGGAUCCGCGCCGUAUUAGCUAGUUGGUAAGGUAACGGCUUACCAAGGCAACGAAACGUAGCCGACCUGGGAGGGUGAUCGGCCCCACUGGAACUGGGACCCGGUCCAGACUCCUACGGGAGGCAGCAGUAGGGAAUCUUCCGCAAUGGGCGAAAGCCUGACGGGGCAGCGCCGCGUGGGUGAUGAAGGUCUUCGGAUCGUAAAACUCUGUUAUCAGGGAAGAACAAAUGUGUAAGUAACUGUGCCCAUCUUGACGGUACCUGAUCAGAAAGCCCCGGCUAACAACGUGCCAGCAGCCGCGGUAAAACGUAGGUGGCAAGCGUUAUCCGGAAUUAUUGGGCGUAAAAGCGCGCGUAGGCGGUUUUUUAAGUCUGAUGUGAAAGCCCCCGGCUCAACCGUGGGGGGUCAUUGGAAACUGGAAAACUUGGGUGCAGAAGGGGAAAGUGGAAUUCCAUGUGUAGCGGUGAAAUGCGCAGGGAAAUGGGGGAACCCCAGUGGCGAAGGCGACUUUCUGGUCUGUAACUGACGCUGAUGUGCGAAAGCGUGGGGAUCAAACAGGAUUAGAAACCCUGGUAGUCCCCGCCGUAAACGAUGGGUGCUAAGUGUUAGGGGGUUUCCGCCCCUUAGUGCUGCAGCUAACGCAUUAAGCCCGCCGCCUGGGGGGUACGACCGCAAGGUUGAAACUCAAAGGAAUUGACGGGGACCCGCCCAAGCGGUGGGGCAUGUGGUUUAAUUCGAAGCAACGCGAAGAACCUUACCAAAUCUUGACAUCCUUUGACCGCUCUAGGGAAAGGGUCUUCCCCUUCGGGGGACAAAGUGACAGGUGGUGCAUGGUUGUCGUCAGCUCGUGUCGUGGGAUGUUGGGUUAAGUCCCGCAACGGGCGCAACCCUUAAGCUUAGUUGCCAUCAUUAAGUUGGGCCCUCUAAGUUGACUGCCGGUGACAAACCGGGGGAAGGUGGGGAUGACGUCAAAUCAUCAUGCCCCUUAUGAUUUGGGCUACCCACGUGCUACAAUGGACAAAACAAAGGGCAGCUAAACCGCGGGGUCAAGCAAAUCCCAAAAAGUUGUUCUCAGUUCGGAUUGUAGUCUGCAACUCGACUACAUGAAGCUGGAAUCGCUAGUAAUCGUAGAACAGCAUGCUACGGUGAAAACGUUCCCGGGUCUUGUACACCCCGCCCGUCCCACCCCGGGAGUUUGUAACCCCCGAAGCCGGUGGGGUAACCAUUUAUGGGGCUAGCCGUCGAAGGUGGGACAAAUGAUUGGGGUGAAGUCGUAACAAGGUAGCCGUA